Molecule: ribosomal RNA, 492 nt
Filed under: uncultured bacterium
Lineage: Bacteria
Description: partial 16S ribosomal RNA
Rfam family: Bacterial small subunit ribosomal RNA
Source: RNAcentral
AGUGAACGCUGGCGGUAGGCCUAACACAUGCAAGUCGAACGGCAGCACAGUAAGAGCUUGCUCUUACGGGUGGCGAGUGGCGGACGGGUGAGGAAUACAUCGGCAUCUACUUUUUCGUGGGGGAUAACGUAGGGAAACUUACGCUAAUACCGCAUACGACCUACGGGUGAAAGCAGGGGAUCUUCGGACCUUUCGCGAUUGAAUGAGCCGAUGUCGGAUUAGCUAGUUGGCAGGGUAAAGGCCCACCAAGGCGACGAUCCGUAGCUGGUCUGAGAGGAUGAUCAGCCACACUGGAACUGAGACACGGUCCAGACUCCUACGGGAGGCAGCAGUGGGGAAUAUUGGACAAUGGGCGCAAGCCUGAUCCAGCCAUACCGCGUGGGUGAAGAAGGCCUUCGGGUUGUAAAGCCCUUUUGUUGGGGAAGAAAAGCAGCAGGUUAAUACCCCGCUGUUCUGACGGUACCCAAAGAAUAAGCACCGGCUAACUUCGUG